Molecule: ribosomal RNA, 1073 nt
Filed under: Boana sp. 3 ML-2020
Lineage: Eukaryota; Metazoa; Chordata; Amphibia; Anura; Hylidae
Description: partial 16S ribosomal RNA
Rfam family: Bacterial large subunit ribosomal RNA
Source: RNAcentral
UAGCUGGUUACCCGAUAAAAGAAUUUUAGUUCUACCUAAAGCCCCCAACAAGUACUAUAAACUAAUACUAAUGCUUUAGAGUUAUUCAAAUAAGGUACAGCCUGUUUGAACAAGGAAACAACCUAAACUAAUGGGUUAGUUUUGCCAUAAUGUACCAAAGUGGGCCUAAAAGCAGCCAUCUUAUAAAAAUAGCGUCAAAGCUUUCCUACAUGCGCACACCAAUUUCUUAACCUAAUCUAAACCCUUUAUUUUCAUCGAGUACUUCUAUACACCUAUAGAAUAUAAAAUGUUAAAACUAGUAACAAGAAGAAAAUUCUUCUCUUAAAUGUCAGUGUAAGCCAGAAAGGAUAAACCACUGUCAAUUAACACUAAUGAUUUUUAAUUAGUAACACCACAAGAAACCCCUAAUAAAACAAAUGUUAAACUGACACAAGAACAUUUCAAGAAAGAUUAAAAGAAAAAGAAGGAACUCGGCAAAUACCAACCCCGCCUGUUUACCAAAAACAUCGCCUCUUGACAAACAUAAGAGGUCCAGCCUGCCCAGUGACCUAGUUCAACGGCCGCGGUAUCCUAACCGUGCGAAGGUAGCGUAAUCACUUGUUCUUUAAAUGAGGACUAGUAUGAAUGGCACCACGAGGGUUACACUGUCUCCUUUUUUUAAUCAGUGAAACUAAUCUUCCCGUGAAGAAGCGGGAGUUUUUUUAUAAGACGAGAAGACCCUAUGGAGCUUUAAACAAAUUAACACUUGCUGCCUAAAAUUACUCUUCCAGAAACACAAUAUACAGCAUAGCAUCAUGAUUAAUAGUUUUCGAUUGGGGUGAUCACGGAGUAAAAAAUAACCUCCAUGCCGAAGGGGCCCUCCCCUGAGCAAAAAGCCACAACUUUAAGCACUAAAAAAUUAACGUUUAUUGACCCAAUAUUUUGAUCAACGAACCAAGUUACCCUAGGGAUAACAGCGCAAUCCACUUCAAGAGCUCCUAUCGACAAGUGGGUUUACGACCUCGAUGUUGGAUCAGGGUACCCCAGUGGUGCAGCCGCUACUAACGGUUCGUUUGUUCAACGAUUAAAACCCU